ACACGACUACAUUAGAUACCCGUGUAGUCCUAGCCGUAAACGAUACUCGCUAGGUGUCGGCCACGGUGUGACCGUUGUCGGUGCCGUAGGGAAGCCGUGAAGCGAGCCACCUGGGGAGUACGGUCGCAAGGCUGAAACUUAAAGGAAUUGGCGGGGAGCACCACAAGAGGUGGAGGCUGCGGUUCAAUUGGACUCAACGCCGGAAACUCAUCGGGAGCGACAGCAGUAUGAUUGCCAGGUUGAUGACCUUGCUUGACAAGCUG
This 263-nucleotide ribosomal RNA is filed under the name uncultured archaeon. Its description in RNAcentral is "partial 16S ribosomal RNA". It matches the Rfam family "Archaeal small subunit ribosomal RNA", at positions 719 to 982 of the family's 1478-position model. The record is from RNAcentral.